Long non-coding RNA from Numida meleagris (helmeted guineafowl), 1983 nucleotides. Lineage: Eukaryota; Metazoa; Chordata; Aves; Galliformes; Numididae. The record is from Ensembl.
UUAUAUAUAUAUUAAAGGUCGAAAAGUCAUGCAAUAGGUGCACAUUAGAUAAAUUUGUGGAUAUAUAUUUAAAAAAGGAGUGGAAAAUUCUAUCAAAGUGAGGACGAGAAGAACAAACUGUAUCUUUCGCUUCUGCAUUCUCCACUUCUGCUGUCUUUAUUCAGUUCUAUUUAGUUUUCCACACUUCGUUCAUGAAUUGCCAGGAUAAAAGCGUAUCACUAACUUGUACAUUUAUAAAGACUUACAGUGAAAUUUUGAACUCCAGAAAGACAAAUAACAGGUAAUUGUUUUGGAGGAACUAUAGCAUGGCUAUAGAGAUAUGUCUAAGACAUAACUAGCUUGUAAAAACAAAGACAACUUGUAUAAUUAAAGAUCAUUCCUAUGCUUUAAUGUCUUACUCCAUUUAUGUACAUUACUUAAUUAUUCAACUUAAACUGCAACUGUUUCUUGAAGCCUUGUAUUAUACACUGAAUAACAACUAUAUGCCACUAUGCAUAAUGAAUUUAAAAGGAAAAGUUAUUUAGUGAAAGGAAAACAGUCGUUUCCUUUUUCUAGUUUUGGAUGCCUUCUUGUGAUAUACCUUCGGUUGGAAAAAAAGAUCAAAUCUGAAGAAACAAGGCAGCAAACUAGCCUAAAAUUUCUCUUCAUUUCUGUGUGGUUGAGGGAACUUGUAAGCAGGGACAGGAAAGUAAGCUGCAAGGAAGUGAGGUGAUUCACAGCAGCCAUCUCAUGUAGCAGCUGGACGGUCAAAAAUGGCAGCUGGGUCCCCUGGCAUCCAACAAAUGCCCUGAUCCAUUAAAUCUUAUCUCUGUCAUGUAAUGGUAACGUAGCACUAGCAUAAAUUAAUGCACAGAAGGGGAUUCAGUCUCAAUGUAGUCCUGUUUUCUUUCGGAUAACAUACUUAUCUGGGCUUUCAGCGCAGCAGUACACAGAAAAAAAAAAUCUUUAAAAAGUCGGGAUACUUGCAAAAGGAAUUUAAAGAAGCACAGGAAAGAAGCUUGUUAUCUAAGGUUUACAAAAACCUGUAAGCUCUAAGAAUCAUAGAAUUGCUCAGGUUGGAAAAGACCUUCAAGAUCAUCAAGUCCAACUGCAACCUCACCCUACUACCCUAACUCUAACAACCCACUGCUAAAUCAUGUCCCCGAGCACCACAUCUAAAUGGUUUUUAAACUCAACCCACCUCCCUGGGGAGCCUGUUCCAGUGCUUAACAACCCUUUCUGUAAAGAAGUUUUUCCUCAUAUCCAACCUAAACAUCCCCUGGCGCAACUUGAGGCCAUCUCCCCUUGUCCUGUCACCUGUCACCAGUGAGAAGAGACCAGCCCUGCUCUCACUGCAAUCACCUUUCAGGUAUUUGAAGAGAGCAAUGAGGUCUCCCCUCAGCCUUCUCUUCCCCAGACUAAACAGCCCCAGUUCCUUUAGUCUCUCCUCAUAGGGCAUAUUCUCCAAGCCCAUCACAAGCCUUGUUGCUCUUCUUUGGACUUGCUCCAGCACCUCCAUGUCCCUUCUGUACUGAGGCACCCAAAACUGAACACAGCACUUGAGGUGGGGCCUCACCAGUGCUGAGUACAGGAGCAGGAUUACCUCCCUACUCCUGCUCGCCACACCAUUCCUGACACAAGCCAGGAUGCCAUUGGUCUUCUUGGCCACCUGGGCACACUGCUGGCUCAUAUUCAGCCGACUGUCCAUCAGCACACCAAGGUCCCUUUCUGUCAGGCAGCUUUCCAGCCACUCCUCCCCAAGCCUGUAGGGUUGCCUGGGGUUGUUGUGACCGAAGUGCAGAACUCGACGCUUGGCCCUAUUGAGACUCAUACAGUUUACCUUGGCCCAUCAAUGCAGACUAUCCAGGUCCCUUUGUAGUGCCUUUCUACCCUCCGGCAGCUCGACACUCCCUUCCAACAUGGUGUCGUCUGCAAACUUACAGAGGGUGCACUCAGUCCCCUCAUCAAGAUCAUUAAUAAAUAUGUUGAAUAGGAGUGGCCCCA